RNAcentral lists this ribosomal RNA (495 nucleotides) under uncultured bacterium. RNAcentral describes it as "partial 16S ribosomal RNA". It matches the Rfam family "Bacterial small subunit ribosomal RNA", at positions 28 to 507 of the family's 1533-position model. The record is from RNAcentral.
GACGAACGCUGGCGGCGUGCCUAAUACAUGCAAGUAGAACGCUGAAGGAGGAGCUUGCUUCUCUGGAUGAGUUGCGAACGGGUGAGUAACGCGUAGGUAACCUGCCUGGUAGCGGGGGAUAACUAUUGGAAACGAUAGCUAAUACCGCAUAAUAGUAGAUGUUGCAUGACAUUUGCCUAAAAGGUGCAAUUGCAUCACUACCAGAUGGACCUGCGUUGUAUUAGCUAGUUGGUGGGGUAACGGCUCACCAAGGCGACGAUACAUAGCCGACCUGAGAGGGUGAUCGGCCACACUGGGACUGAGACACGGCCCAGACUCCUACGGGAGGCAGCAGUAGGGAAUCUUCGGCAAUAGACGGAAGUCUGACCGAGCAACGCCGCGUGAGUGAAGAAGGUUUUCGGAUCGUAAAGCUCUGUUGUAAGAGAAGAACGAGUGUGAGAGUGGAAAGUUCACACUGUGACGGUAUCUUACCAGAAAGGGACGGCUAACUACGUG